GCCAAGGUGGUCUAGUGGUUAGAACGCUGGCCUUGUAAUCCUGGGGUCUCGGGUUCGAUUCCCGGCGGUGCCC
This 73-nucleotide transfer RNA is filed under the name Zootermopsis nevadensis. It matches the Rfam family "tRNA". From Rfam's summary of the family: Transfer RNA (tRNA) molecules are approximately 80 nucleotides in length. Their secondary structure includes four short double-helical elements and three loops (D, anti-codon, and T loops). Lineage: Eukaryota; Metazoa; Arthropoda; Insecta; Blattodea; Termopsidae. The record is from Rfam by way of RNAcentral.